CCUAAGUUAUAAGCGGAUGGUCAGUUUAGUCCCCGUUUUUAACAACUGCUACAUCAUGAACAUCAAAAAAUGACUCAUUUGAUACAUUUUUUAUAACUUAGGAACCAAAGGUUUACAUUUUUAAAAACGGAGACUAAACUGAACAUCCGCUCAUAACUUAGGAAC
RNAcentral lists this microRNA precursor (165 nucleotides) under Vigna radiata var. radiata (mung bean). RNAcentral describes it as "pre miRNA mir-286". It matches the Rfam family "mir-286 microRNA precursor family". The record is from RNAcentral. Lineage: Eukaryota; Viridiplantae; Streptophyta; Magnoliopsida; Fabales; Fabaceae.